RNAcentral lists this ribosomal RNA (214 nucleotides) under uncultured bacterium. RNAcentral's name for it is "partial 16S ribosomal RNA". It matches the Rfam family "Bacterial small subunit ribosomal RNA", at positions 1288 to 1500 of the family's 1533-position model. The record is from RNAcentral.
CCAGUUCGGAUCGCAGGCUGCAACCCGCCUGCGUGAAGUUGGAAUCGCUAGUAAUCGCGGAUCAGCAUGCCGCGGUGAAUACGUUCCCGGGCCUUGUACACACCGCCCGUCACACCAUGAGAGUCGGGAACACCCGAAGUCCGUAGCCUAACCGCAAGGGGGGGCGCGGCCGAAGGUGGGUUCGAUAAUUGGGGUGAAGUCGUAACAAGGUAGC